CCUACGGGGGGCUGCAGUGGGGAAUAUUGCGCAAUGGGCGAAAGCCUGACGCAGCGACGCCGCGUGAGGGAUGAAGGUCUUCGGAUCGUAAACCUCUGUCAGCAGGGAAGAACGGUCACUGUGCUAAUCAGCAGUGAAUUGACGGUACCUCGUAAGAAAGCCCCGGCAAACUACGUGCCAGCAGCCGCGGUAAUACGUAGGGGGCGAGCGUUGUCCGGAAGGACUGGGCUGAAAGGGAGUGUAGGCGGCAUAUUAAGUUAUGUGUGAAAGCCCGCGGCUCAACCGCGGAAUUGCACAUAAAACUGGUAAGCUGGAGUGCAGGAGAGGUAAGUGGAAUUCCCGGUGUAGCGGUGGAAUGCGUAGAUAUCGGGAGGAACACCAGAGGCGAAGGCGACUUACUGGACUGUAACUGACGCUGAGGCUCGAAAGCGUGGGGAGCAAACAGGAUUAGAUACCCCUGUAGUC
This 465-nucleotide ribosomal RNA is filed under the name uncultured bacterium. Its description in RNAcentral is "partial 16S ribosomal RNA". It matches the Rfam family "Bacterial small subunit ribosomal RNA", at positions 338 to 795 of the family's 1533-position model. The record is from RNAcentral.